Molecule: ribosomal RNA, 700 nt
Filed under: Staphylococcus xylosus
Lineage: Bacteria; Bacillati; Bacillota; Bacilli; Caryophanales; Staphylococcaceae
Description: bacterial SSU rRNA
Rfam family: Bacterial small subunit ribosomal RNA
Source: RNAcentral
CUAAUACCGGAUAACAUUUAGAACCGCAUGGUUCUAAAGUGAAAGAUGGUUCUGCUAUCACUUAUAGAUGGACCCGCGCCGUAUUAGCUAGUUGGUAAGGUAACGGCUUACCAAGGCGACGAUACGUAGCCGACCUGAGAGGGUGAUCGGCCACACUGGAACUGAGACACGGUCCAGACUCCUACGGGAGGCAGCAGUAGGGAAUCUUCCGCAAUGGGCGAAAGCCUGACGGAGCAACGCCGCGUGAGUGAUGAAGGGUUUCGGCUCGUAAAACUCUGUUAUUAGGGAAGAACAAAUGUGUAAGUAACUGUGCACAUCUUGACGGUACCUAAUCAGAAAGCCACGGCUAACUACGUGCCAGCAGCCGCGGUAAUACGUAGGUGGCAAGCGUUAUCCGGAAUUAUUGGGCGUAAAGCGCGCGUAGGCGGUUUCUUAAGUCUGAUGUGAAAGCCCACGGCUCAACCGUGGAGGGUCAUUGGAAACUGGGGAACUUGAGUGCAGAAGAGGAAAGUGGAAUUCCAUGUGUAGCGGUGAAAUGCGCAGAGAUAUGGAGGAACACCAGUGGCGAAGGCGACUUUCUGGUCUGUAACUGACGCUGAUGUGCGAAAGCGUGGGGAUCAAACAGGAUUAGAUACCCUGGUAGUCCACGCCGUAAACGAUGAGUGCUAAGUGUUAGGGGGUUUCCGCCCCUUAGUGCUGC